Molecule: ribosomal RNA, 253 nt
Filed under: uncultured bacterium
Lineage: Bacteria
Description: partial 16S ribosomal RNA
Rfam family: Bacterial small subunit ribosomal RNA
Source: RNAcentral
UACAGAGGAGCCAAGCGUUGUCCGGAUUGACUGGGCGUAAAGCGCACGCAGGCGGCACCGCGCGUGGGGUGUGAAAUCUGGCCGCUUAACGGCCAGGCGCCAUCCCAUACGGCGGAGCUGGAGUGAUGCAGAGGUCGAUGGAAUUGCCGGUGUAGUGGUGAAAUGCGUAGAUAUCUGGAGGAAUACCGGUGGCGAAGGUGGCAUCCUGGACCGGCAUUGACGCUGAGGAGCGAAAGCUAGGGGAGCAAACGGG